UGGGGAAUAUUGGACAAUGGGCGCAAGCCUGAUCCAGCCAUGCCGCGUGAGUGAUGAAGGCCCUAGGGUUGUAAAGCUCUUUCGCCAGGGACGAUAAUGACGGUACCUGGAUAAGAAGCCCCGGCUAACUUCGUGCCAGCAGCCGCGGUAAUACGAAGGGGGCUAGCGUUGUUCGGAAUCACUGGGCGUAAAGCGCACGUAGGCGGAUCUUUAAGUCAGGGGUGAAAUCCCGAGGCUCAACCUCGGAACUGCCUUUGAUACUGGAGGUCUCGAGUUCGGGAGAGGUGAGUGGGACUGCGAGUGUAGAGGUGAAAUUCGUAGAUAUUCGCAAGAACACCAGUGGCGAAGGCGGCUCACUGGCCCGAUACUGACGCUGAGGUGCGAAAGCGUGGGGAGCAAAACAGGAUUAGAUACCCUGGUAGUCCACGCCGUAAAACGAUGGAUGCUAGCCGUUGGGGAGCUUGCUCUUCAGUGGCGCAGCUAACGCUUUAAGCAUCCCGCCUGGGGNGUACGGUCGCAAGAUUAAAACUUAAAUGAAUUGACGGGGUCAUAGCUGUUUCCUG
RNAcentral lists this ribosomal RNA (563 nucleotides) under uncultured bacterium. Its description in RNAcentral is "partial 16S ribosomal RNA". It matches the Rfam family "Bacterial small subunit ribosomal RNA", at positions 355 to 1376 of the family's 1533-position model. The record is from RNAcentral.